CAGUCGCCGCGGGAAUACGAAGGGUGCAAGCGUUAAUCGGAAUUACUGGGCGUAAAGCGUGCGUAGGCGGUGAGUUAAGUCUGCUGUGAAAUCCCCGGGCUCAACCUGGGAAUGGCAGUGGAUACUGGCUCGCUAGAGUGUGUCAGAGGAUGGUGGAAUUCCCGGUAUAGCGGUGAAAUGCGUAGAGAUCGGGAGGAGCAUCAGUGGCGAAGGCGGCCAUCUGGGACAACACUGACGCUGAGGCACGAAAGCGUGGGGAGCAAACAGGAUUAGAUACCCCCGUAGUCCCUGUCUCUUAUAC
RNAcentral lists this ribosomal RNA (301 nucleotides) under uncultured bacterium. RNAcentral's name for it is "partial 16S ribosomal RNA". It matches the Rfam family "Bacterial small subunit ribosomal RNA", at positions 509 to 807 of the family's 1533-position model. The record is from RNAcentral.